UACGUAGGGUGCGAGCGUUAAUCGGAAUCACUGGGCGUAAAGGGUGCGUAGGCGGGUCUUUAAGUCAGGGGGGAAAUCCUGGAGCUCAACUCCAGAACUGCCUUUGAUACUGAGGAUCUUGAGUACGGGAGAGGUGAGUGGAACUGCGAGUGUAGAGGUGAAAUUCGUAGAUAUUCGCAAGAACACCAGUGGCGAAGGCGGCUCACUGGCCCGUAACUGACGCUGAGGCACGAAAGCGUGGGGAGCAAACAGG
Molecule: ribosomal RNA, 253 nt
Filed under: uncultured bacterium
Lineage: Bacteria
Description: partial 16S ribosomal RNA
Rfam family: Bacterial small subunit ribosomal RNA
Source: RNAcentral